AUGAGGAGCUGGGGUCCCACGGGUGGUUUGAUCUUCCUCCUUGUGGUGGUGGUUCUUCUCCAUCGUGUGCGGUGUACACCUCGAGUGUUUGAUAGUGUGAUUAGAGUGCACGGCAUCAUCUUCAUCUGGACUCUCACAGCGUUUGCUCAAGAGUGUAGAGGACAGAUCACCGUCACUCAGAGUCCCUCAAUGACAGCAGCUCAACCAGGACAAACUGUGAACAUCAACUGUAAAACCAGCACAGAUGUGUAUUAUAGUAGUUCUUAUGGACAUUAUUUAGCCUGGUACUUACAGAAACCUGGAGAAGCUCCUAAACUCCUGAUUUAUUUAGCAAACAGCCGUCAGUCAGGAACUCCAUCUAGAUUCAGUGGCAGUGGAUCUAACAGUGAUUUCACUCUGACCAUCAGUGGAGUCCAGACUGAAGAUGCUGGACAUUAUUACUGUCAGAGUGUACACUACAUCAACAGUAAAUGGAUGUUCACACAGUGAUAAAGAGUCGUACAAAAACCUCCGUCAGUCAGAGUCACAGUGACUGAACUGAUACUGCAGCUGCUCACACACUUUCACACACUUUCACACACUACUGACACACAGAGGACAAACACAGGAACUACACAUGUGCUCAAAACUGACUUAUGACUGAAAUCAGCUCUAUUAGACUGUGAUCUGUCCUGUGACAGACGGGUUUGACUCAAAUAUGCUCAGAAUCAGAGAAAACAGAGUGUGUAAAUUGAUAUGUAGAUUCAUAUGUUGUUUUGUUUUUGUACAUUAAACUACACUAAAGUCAUGGUGUAUCAGUAACAUGCAGAUGUUUUUCAAGCAGCUCCUUCAUCUAAAGCUGUUUAUAAAUGUAUUACUCAUAACUCAUUUCUCAUGAGCAGAAGUGAAAGUGUUCCAGUUGAGAGCGUUGAACCAAUCAAAGAGUGAAACUGUGAGUUUGAGGUGAAAAUCACAUUUGCAUUGGCAGGUUUAGUGAUUGUGAUCCUCUCAGAAUAGAGCAGCUCCGUCUCCAGUGACCAUGUUCAAACCCCAAGAGCUUCAUUUGACAUUUCCUGCUAAAUGCAGCUGUUCUCAACUAUUACAAUCAAUCAAAAGCAGCUGAAACUUUAGUGCAGGACUUUGAAUGAACGACACACUGAUCAAUGAUGCAGUCGGACACAAAUGUAACGCGUUCAGAAGCUUUAUUGAAUGAACAGCAAUGGCAGCACAUUGAAAGACUGCUUCAGUAUUGAGCUGUAAAUCACGUGACUGCUGUGAAUCCUGCCGGACGCUCAGAUACGGCUCGUCUGGACCGGAGAAACAUCAGCACUGGGAGCUCU
Megalobrama amblycephala (Wuchang bream) is the source of this 1319-nucleotide non-coding RNA. NCBI's taxonomy places the organism in Eukaryota, Metazoa, Chordata, Actinopteri, Cypriniformes, Xenocyprididae. The record is from the annotation of a RefSeq genome assembly.